GAUGAAGAACGCAGCGAAAUGCGAUACGUAAUGUGAAUUGCAGAAUUCAGUGAAUCAUCGAAUCUUUGAACGCAUAUUGCGCUCUCUGGUAUUCCGGAGAGCAUGCUUGUUUGAGUAUCAGUAAACACCUCAACUUCCAUAUCUUUUUUGAAAUGGGAGUUGGACUUGAGUGAUCCCAACGCUUUUCCUCACCGAAAAGUGGCGGGUUACUUGAAAUGCAGGUGCAGCUGGACUUUUCUCUGAGCUAUAAGCAUAUCUAUUUAGUCUGCCUAAAAAACAGAUUAUUACCUUUGCUGCAGCUAACAUAAAGGAGAUUAGUUCUUGUGCUGACUGAUGCAGGAUUCACAAAGACAGGCUUCGGCCGACUUUGUAAACUCGAUCUCAAAUCAAGUAAGACUACCAGCUGAACUUAAGCAUAUCAAUAAGCGGAGGA
Molecule: unclassified non-coding RNA, 433 nt
Filed under: soil metagenome
Description: partial contains 5.8S ribosomal RNA, internal transcribed spacer 2, and large subunit ribosomal RNA
Rfam family: 5.8S ribosomal RNA (bases 1-120)
Source: RNAcentral